This is an unclassified non-coding RNA of Callithrix jacchus (white-tufted-ear marmoset), 289 nucleotides long. It matches the Rfam family "Metazoan signal recognition particle RNA". From Rfam's summary of the family: The signal recognition particle (SRP) is a universally conserved ribonucleoprotein. The record is from Ensembl. NCBI's taxonomy places the organism in Eukaryota, Metazoa, Chordata, Mammalia, Primates, Cebidae.
GCCAGGUGUGAUGGCUCCCAGCUACUCAGGAGGCUGAGGUGGGAGGAUCGCGUAAGCCCAGGAGUUCUGGGCUGUGGUGUGCUAUGCCAAUCAGGUGUCUGCACUAAGUUUGGCAUCAAUAUGGUGACCUCCCUGGAGCGGGGGACCACCAGGUUGCCAAAGGAGGGGUGAACCGGCCCAGGUGGGAAACAGAGCAGGUCAAAACUCCUGUGCUGAUCAGUAGUGGGAUGGUGCCUGUGAAUCGCUACUGCACUCCAGCCUGGGCAACAUAGUGAGACCCCCACCUCUU